This 430-nucleotide ribosomal RNA is filed under the name Bacteroidota bacterium. RNAcentral's name for it is "Bacteroidetes bacterium partial 16S ribosomal RNA". It matches the Rfam family "Bacterial small subunit ribosomal RNA", at positions 355 to 776 of the family's 1533-position model. Lineage: Bacteria; Pseudomonadati; Bacteroidota. The record is from RNAcentral.
UAGGGAAUCUUCGGCAAUGGGGGGAACCCUGACCGAGCAACGCCGCGUGAGUGAAGAAGGUUUUCGGAUCGUAAAGCUCUGUUGUUAAGGAAGAACGAGUGUGAGAAUGGAAAGUUCAUGCUGUCACGGUACUUAACCAGAAAGCCACGGCUAACUACGUGCCAGCAGCCGCGGUAAUACGUAGGUGGCAAGCGUUGUCCGGAUUUAUUGGGCGUAAAGCGAGCGCAGGCGGUCAAUUAAGUCUGAUGUGAAAGCCCCCGGCUCAACCGGGGAGGGUCAUUGGAAACUGGUUGACUUGAGUGCAGAAGAGGAGGGUGGAAUUCCGUGUGUAGCGGUGAAAUGCGUAGAUAUAUGGAGGAACAGCAGUGGCGAAGGCGACUCUCUGGUCUGUAACUGACGCUGAGGUUCGAAAGCGUGGGUAGCAAACAGG